CGUGGAUCGAAGUUAAAUGAACAACGAUGUCAACUUAUGUGCCUUGAGUAAAUCUCGUCUGUUGUCAUCGAGCUUUAGCGAUGUUUUUCUGCAUCGGAAUAAUUUAUCAGUGACUUUUUCAUAGAAAAUUCGUCUGCAAAAUACUUAUAUUUGUGAAGACUAUUUACUUUUUUUUAUGAAGAUGGCAGCUAAAAUCAACGACGAAACAGACAACGAAAAACAUUUUUCUAAAUUCAGGUAACAAAAACUCUUGAUCAUGUUUAUUUAUUUUGUAAAGUACCACGUAUUGAAGUAGCAAUUUUAAUGUACCGACUACCGUACAACUGAACUGUCUUAGUCAGUGUGACGUCCUAAUGCUAUUUAUUUACCCCAACAGAUUGAUAUAUGACAUAUAUAGUGUAUAGUGCUGUUGUUAUUGUUUUGGAUCAAAUACCUGUUAAUUAGUCUUUAGUCUUUAGUAAGUGUCCCAAAUGACACUGUAAACACUUGUGUACAUUUCCUCUUUUGUAGUUUCUUCACAUAUGUAAUGUUCACUCAUGUACUUAUAGACUUUUAGAAAUAAAUUAAGGGGAUAGAUGGACCCCCCUUUUUUCUACAGAGCUCUAUUUUUCUAUAUAGCUGCACAAGGACAUAUAUAUAUGUUAGUUAUACGUCCUUGAGCUGCAUAAUGAUAUUCCAGAUACUUGUUGAAAUGCAUUGUAUUAUACCUAUUAUAAUUACCAUAAUAUUGACAUUAGUAAGGUAAUUCAUUGUAAUUGGAAAGGUCAAUAACAUUUAUGAUGUUGAUCAUUUGGCCAGUCCAGUUAUCUUUUAGACAAUAAUAAGUUGUUAAUAAUCAAAUUUGUAAUAACUGCACCUGUGCUUUCUCAAUAAUGAUUUUAAAAUGUGGUGUACUACAAUGUACUUUUGGAACAAUCUAUAUCUCAAUUCUCUGCAUUAAAUUAAAAUUCAUGACAAUUUUUUCCCCCAUCGUAAUUUCAUCUAUCUACCAUGUCUAAUUGGUAUUUGAAGAAGGGUUAAUAGAAAAAUAUCUAUAGGGAUUAUACAUGUAUUUGUAGACAGUGAAAAUCAAGGUAGGAUAACCCCCUGCUUUCCUGAUAUUCAUGUAUUCAUGAAUAAAGUAGAAUAUUCAUGAAUAUUCAUGAAUAUUCCACUUCCAUUCAUGGUUACUAUUCCAGUGUCAAAAUUAUUCAUGAAUAUGAAACAUGAAUUAAGUGGAAUAUACAUGAAUUCUUAAUAACUGUUUGGAGACAACAAAUAAAUGUUCUUAAAAUGCUAGUCACUUACUAUAUCAUAGUAUAAUCAAGUUUCCUUCAUUCAAAAUUGUUUUUUUUGUGGUAAUAAAACCCUUUUUGUCAAUAUGAAUAAACAUGAAUAAGAAUGAAUGUUUGGACUUAGAUUUUUUUUGCAUACAUUUCAUGAAUAAGAAUGAAUAAUGAGGAAUAAAUUUUGGACUUAGAAUAUUUUUCCAUUGUGUGACAAACAUGAAUAAGCAUGAAUAAAGCUGCAUGAUAAUGACUCAGAAUUAUUUGUGGCAAACGGCAUAAAAAUUGAUAAUGAAAUUUGUUCUAGGACUUUUGUAUGUAUAUUUUUACUUGAUUGUUGAUGCUGAAUAACAUACAUGUACAUGUAUGUAUUCCACAGUUAAAUGAAAAAAAUAUAUGAUAAUUUUAAUAGAUAGCUCAUGUAGGUGAUAUUCAUAACAUCUUCAUACAAAACAUGUAAGGUAUUUUAAAUUUAAUUUUAUUAAUAACCAUGAUCAUAAAAUAUAAACAUUGUAAAUUUUUUUUCUUUUCACAUGAAUAAUCUUGAAUUAACUUGAAUGUUUGGACUUUUUCAUUAAUAAUCAUAUCAUGGCCUUAUUACAGCCAUUCUCUUAGAAACUUUAUAAAAAUAUAUAUUAAAAUUUUCUAAACAUCCAGCAAUUUAUGAUAAUGUGUGUAAAGUUAAUAAGAUUAAAAAAAAAACAUAAUUUUUAACACUCUAACCCUCAUGAACCAUAAUUUCUGAAUAUUAGCUGAAUGUGGCUGAAAUUUUCUGAAUUUUGGCUGAAAUGUGUCUUAGAACAAAUCAGGUGUCUGAAUCCUGUCUGACCUGUUUAUUGAUGGUGUCUGAAUAUUGUCUUAUAGUUCUGAAUUUUGUCUGAAUACUUCUUAUUUAGUCAGAAAAAGUUUCAGACAUAUUCAGAACUUCUGAAUACUGUCUUAUUUGUCUGAAUUAUUAAGAAACAGCAGUAAGAUCAAUUCAGAAACCAAAAAUUAAUUAAAUACACCCCUAAAUAUCUGAAUAUUGUCUGAAUUAUUCUUAAUCAUUCAGAUAUUAUGUCAGACAAAAUUCAGAAAAUUGGAAAUAAGUAAAUUCUAAUAUAUAGAUCUGAAUAUUGUCUGAAUUUUUAAAAAUCAUUCAGAAGUUAUGUCAGACAAAAGUCAGAAAACUGGAAAUAAGUAAAUUAUAAUCUCAUAGAAAUGAAUAUUGUCUGAAGUUUUCUAAAUCAUUCAGAAGUUAGACAAAAUUCAGAAAACUAGAAAUAAGUCAUAGAUCUGAAUUACACUGAGUUAUUUAAUUUUAACACAUAAAUGGAAACAUAAAAAAUAAUUCUUCAAAAGUCUGAAUGUUAUGUGAAUAAGUUUCACCAACAAAACUACAUAAAAUAAAAUAUUUUGAAAAUGUACAAAUAACAGCAAGAAUUAAUUUCCCUGAUUACAAAAAUUUUGAAAUCCUUCAUCUGGCUCAUCAACAUAAAAGUGCAAGAAUCUUACAGUGUUUCCCCAAGGCAAUAUAGCUACUGACCUUAUUUUUGAGGUGGGAUAGGAGGGGUCCUAAUCCCGAAAUCCCGGACUUAAAAAACGAAAUCCCAUAAUCCCGACGUCCCGAAAUCCCAAAAAAAGAAUUCCCUAAUCCCGAAAGAGUGAAUCCCGAAAUCCUGAGCUUAAAAACACCCGAUCCCGGGGUAAUAAUAAUCCCCCCUAUUUUUCAUCUAACAUUUUGGGAUGACCGUGAAUGCAGUUACAGUCAUCAGUUUAAACCCAUUGAUAUAUAACUAUGAAAUACUUUGGAAAACCAAGUGUACAUAAUAAAAAAACUCAUGAGUAGUUUGAUCAUUUAGUGAUGAAAAACUGAACAAACACUUGUUCACUUUAAAAUAUUGUGUUUUUUGAAAUUGCUUUAUUAUCAUUAAGAUAUUGGAUAUACUGGUGCAUGGGCAUUAAUUUUGGUAGAAAAGGUACUUAUAUUAAAUUCUAACAGUUAUUAUCAGUACAAUUUAUUUGUACCUAGUCCAAAUAAUUAUGACGUUUUGAAAGGCUAUUUAAUUUUAGCUUUGACACCUUUUGCAGCAAGGUGCAAAGCCGACAAUAAAAUAACCAUUCAGUGGGGAAAUGUUUUUAAUGCAACACCAGGAAUUCAUGUUUCUUAUACAUUAAAACUUCUCUAAAUACAGUUCUCCCACCAUACCGGCUAAAUCAAGGAGACCCGUACAUUAAAUGGUCAUUUAACCUUACAAAACUGGCCAUAUGAUUCCUUUCAAUCGGAUACUACGCAAGUGUCAUUUUUGUAUUUGAAUAAUUAAAAUCAUAAUAAUUCAACCUCAUAAAACGGGCCUUGUCAUCUUAAUAUCACUGAUUAGUAAUAACAUUGUUAUGUAUCAUAAAGACAGUAAACUGUGAGUACUGUUCAGCUUGUCAAUUUAUUUUCAUUAUCCCAAUGUUUUACAAAUAGUGAUUACCGGCAAUUUCCAGUGUUACAUUGUUUACAAAUUUCAUAUAAUUAUUAGGGAAAAAUCGUUAGUGUAUGGUGUUUUUUAUUUUUUAUUCCUGCAAAAUAAAAAAAAUAAAUAAGAUGAAAUACAAGUUGUAGCAGUAUUUUACAAUAGAAAUUAUUCACAAAACUAAAAUUCACAAAGGAAAACGUAUAUUUGAAUAAGAUCAAAUACAUUUUUAAAUAUUUCUCAAACACCCAUAUUAAGGGGAAGUUACUCUUCGAAAUUUUAAAUUUCAACUAACCAGCAAACCCUGCAAAUCGGCCGUAAUUUGUGACCUGACCGGCGGCAUGUUUUGAGAAGUUUCACUGAAACACCGUUACGGGGACGAAUCAAUUUCGGGCCGAUAUGAUAUGGGGCGAGAUUGACACCUUGACUGAAACGCACUGGCAUACGUCAUCAAAGAUUACGCUGGAUAAACAAAAUGGAGAAUCCAAACGCAAAUGUUUUCAGAUAAGUAUUUUGAUUUAACAUAUGAUAAUUGUAAUUAUUAUAAAAGACAAUUGGUUGAAGGCACUAUUAUAAAACAUUUAGGAUUUAAAUCUGAGAAAACAUCAGAAAAUUUUGGCAGACAAUUAAUGUAAUGAAUAUAUAUAUUGUUCAAAAUUUGUUGUCACAUUCAUAAAACAAAUAGUAACUAGGUUAAUCUGCAGUCAAUAACUUAAAAAAUGCACUACCACUUUCUACAUUAAAUGUAGAAAUUAAAUUGGGUGAACAAACUUAGUGAAAACUAUAAGUCACCAAUUUUAUCUUCAAGGGAUAAAAAGGGGGGGGUUUUUAAUUUGAGUUUAGGCUUCCAAUGUAAGAUACAGUACAAAUGCAUAAUGCAAUAAUGUUUCUAUUGAAUUUAUUGCUUCAUAACCUCAAGAACAAUUGAUUCUUUGUGGAUAUUUUUUGUACUUUUAGGGGAUUAAAUAUGAGCUGCCAGCAAUGAUAUGAAACAGAUUUUAUGCAGACUCCAUUUUAAUACCUUUAUUCAGCAAUUCAAGUUUGAAGUACAGAGACAGCAAGUUUUAAAUUACAGAAAGGAAGAGAAGUUUAUAUCUGACACAUAAUUUUUAUAUUAGUUAAUCAGUUUGUGAGUGAGGUUUAAGCUGACCAUAGUUACUUGUUUUUAUUCUUUAUGCAAACCAUGCAGGCCAUUUUUUUCAUGGAUAGGAUGUUAAGAAUGUUAUUUAUUUAAAUAUUUGAAAUAUAUUCAGAUCAAUCUAUGAUCAAAGCACUCACUAUAUUUUGUGUUUCUUAGAAAAAGUGAUAAACCUUGGGCUUAAUUGGAAGAUCAAAUCAGUUACAAUGGGGUUUUGAUUCCAUUUCAUGCUAUCUUAUUAUGGCUGAAUAUGUCUUAAUAAGGCUGAAGAUUGGAUGAAUUUGUCUGAAUAGUUCUUAAUAUGGUUGAAUAUUUCUGAAUAUAUAUAUGAAUAUUUCUGAAUAUAUAUGAAUAUUUCUUAAUGUCUGAAUAUUUCUUAAUAUAUGUCUGAAUAUUUCUUAAUAUGUCUGAAUAUUUCUUAGUAUGGCUGAAGAUUGGAAGAAUGUUGGCUGAAGAUUUCUGAAUAUUGCUGAAUAUGUCUUAAAAAAUGGCUGAAUAUUUCUUAAUACAGCAUCAUUUAAACCAUAAAUUUUCUGAAUAUUUCUUAGUUUCUGAAUAUUUCUGUUUCUGAAUACUGGCUGAAUAGUCCGAAAUCCAGUCAAUAUUCAGAAAUAGACACAAAUACAACAUUCAGACCUAUUCAGACGAUUAUUCAGAUAGAAUUCAGAAAUAAUUCAGACAAUAUUCAGCCACCAAUUUUCCAGCACCUCAAAAAGGAAGUUAUCAUUGCCCAACAUUAUCCUAUAUUCCUAAUUUAUAUAGUUUUUAUACAAUACAAAUCAUUUAACAAUAUUUAUUACUUUUAACCACACAGUUCUUCCUUUUAUUAAUUCAGAUCUGGUUGUGUGCAUUUAUCAGAUUGUCCCCUGCUGAGUUCACAUCUGGAAUUAACUUCCUUUAGUUCAGUCUCUGAAUGGGGCCACAUACAGGAAAAUCUGCAUAUACUUCUUUUUAAUAAUGAAAUAAUGUUUUAUGAUAUACUUUUAUAUUAAAUUAAUAUAAACCUUGAAAACUGCCAGUAUGUUUCAUAAAUUAUAAACAUUAAAUAUUUUUGACCUGUUCAUUUAUUUAACAUUUAUGCAUGACUUACAAAAUGUAAGAACUUAUCCCUACAAUGCCCCAACUGACCACUGGGAAGUAAAAUACACACAUGGUAGCUACAAGAUUCAAAUAAUUUGUUGGUGCUUUUUAGAAAAAGAUUGUGUUUAAUCAUGUUAUUGUCAGAGGCAGAGUUUAUAAAAUUAGCCAGUGAUAGAAAAAGUUUGCAUUUAAGGAAAAUGGCUUAGACAUUAUUGUUUUCUUGGAAAAUGUCCAAGAUUAUGAACACCAAAAACAACUGUUAUUUUUAAUGGAGUACUCUCAGGAUGAAGAUUCUACAGAAUUUAUGUGUGUUGUUCAAGUUAGAUGGAAAAACUAUGUACAGUUGUUACUACAUUUUGUUAUCAUAUGGUAAGUUGUUGGUUUUUUUUUUCUUGUUUUGAAAUAAUUUUUAGAUAUUAUAGAUUUCUAUUAUUUAAGAGGACUGAGCUUUUUAAGCAAGUUGCAACUUUUAUCGAUAUAAACCGAUCAAAGAUCUUAGUUAUUUAUGGGAAAAACUUCUAAAUGAGCACUGGGACUUUAUUGCUUAAAUUAAAUAUUAGUUUAUACAUAUUUAAUUAUAAUGACUUUUAAGAUGUCAAUUUUUUGUAUAAAAUGAAAUUUGUUGUGGUUUAAAGUUUUUUAAGUCCAUAACGGUCAAUAUUAUAUAAAACGAUUAAUGUGUUUAAUCCAUAAUGCAUGGCAAUUAAAGCACCAAUAUUGACAAAAAAAAAUAUACUAAUAUUUGCAUUGAUUUUUUUAAUGACAUUCUGAUAAGAAUGAUCUCAUUUGUUUUUUCCCCACAGAUCUUUGAUAUAAGUUAGCUCAUUAUCAUGUCAAAUGUACAAUGUAUGCUUAUCAUUAACUUUUAACACGUUUAAAUUACCCACCUGCCCAUUAAAGUCUACAUUUAAGGUUUCAAUUUGUGUUAAAAUCAUGAAUUUUUAUAAUUUUAUCUGUAAAGUCACUUUUAUUGAUCUACAUGAAUUUUAGGUAAUUGAUCCAAUAGCCACCCAUUUAUAGUAUGGAUCCCAAUUCCAACCUUAUCAAGCAAUACGGGAUGCAUGGUUGCAUGGGUGUUUUUACUAUUACAAAAAAAAUGUGAUACAUACAUGUACUACAAACGGGUGGAUAUUGGAUCAAUACAGUGGCGGAUCCAGAACUUUUCAUAAGGAGGGGGCACUCCAGUCAUGCUUCAGUGAUUCCCUAUAUGAUCAACCAAAUUUUUCCCACGAAAGGGGGGACCCAGGCCCCACCUGCAACCCCCCACCCCCCACUUGAUCGGCCUAUGCAAUAUAUCUGGUAAAUCAUGUUGGUACUGAAGCAGUAAUAAUACUCUUAAAUGUGUAGUUAAGAACAAGAUAUUUUGAAACAAACAAUGUAAUUAAACAUGUUAAAAAAUCUUAAUAUUCUACUUAAUUAUGUUUAUUUUUAUCACAGGAUUAAACAGAAUAUCCAAAACUGGCCUCCUAAGUUAAAACCUUUGCUGAUUCUGAAAAGAGAAUUGAGAAGCUAGAGGAAGAAGUUAAAAAAAUGAAGAAAAAAUUUCAUUCCACGAAAACCAUAAGCCAGAAAUCGUAGAGGAUGAUUUUUUUCUUUACAAUACAAAGAAUAGUUCAGAUGUCAAGAAAAUAAUAAGCAACAUAAGUGACUUUCAGUCACGUGUCAUAGAUGUUUUCCUGUUCAUUUUUGGAGAAAACUAGCGGGUUGAGCAUAGUAUGAAAGGAAGAAAAGCCAAUGCAAAGCACGAAGUCAAGCCAGCAUAAGAUAGGCCUACAUGUACAUAAGAACUUUUGACAAUAACAACUUUUAGAACAAUGACCAGAGAAUCGAGAAAAAGAUAUCAUUGCAAAAUUACUAAAUGUUCAAAAAGCUAUCAGACUAAAAAAAAUAUCUGCAAAUAAGUAAAAAUUAUGUAUGAUUAUCACUUUGCUCCAUUAGAUUUGCCUGUCUUUAGUUUAAAAAUAGAUCUGAAAACACAUAGAUUAAGGAAGGGUUUGGAUUAAAUCCUAGAUCAAAUAGUGUACAAUUUUGCUAGAUCUUAAUGAAAGUGAUUGUAAAUUCAUAUUUCACAGCUAUCAUGAUUAAAAAAUAUUUUAAACUUAAAUGUCUGUAUUUGCUUUUGGUUUUCAAAAAAACUCUCAAGGACACUUAUUUCAAUAUUCAUGGUUAAUCUAGAAUAUUCAACCAUUCAAUAUUCAUGGUUAUUCUAGAUUAUUCAACCAUUCAAAUGACAAUAUUCAUGGUUAUUCUAGAAUAUUCAACCAUUCAAUAUUCAUGGUUAUUCUAGAAUAUUCAACCAUUCAAUAUUCAUGAAAUAUUCACAUUCAAGGUUAUUCUAGAAGUAUGUAUUUAGCAUUCAAUAUUGGGAUAGAUAUAUAUUUUUCAUUCAUGGUGAUUCUAGAAUAUUCUAUCAUGCAUUAUUCAAAGACAUCCUAUUUCAUAUUCAUGAAUAUUCUAUAGAUAAUUAUUCAUGUUAAUUCUUGGUUAUUCAGUUCAUACAAUAUUCAUGUAUAUUCAAGCUUAUUCAGUUCAAACAAUAUUCAUGUAUAUUCAAGGUGCCAUUUAACAUUCAUGAAUAUUCAUGAAUAUUCAUGAACUGUUACCUUGAAUAUUCAUGAACAUUCAUGAAUAUUAUUCAUGAAUAUUCAUGAAUUGUUCAUGAAUAUUCAUGAAUAAUUCAAGGUCAGGAAAGCAGGGCUGUGGUCCUGGACCUAAACAUAGGCCAUAUACAAGUUAUCGAUAAAAAAAAUAAAUAGAAAAUGCAAUUUCUUUUAAGUCUUUUGAAUAUUACAUUGUAUCUUUAAGUUAGUAUUUAACUCCAUGAUUGUAAAACAAACUUAGACCAAAGUAAGAAGAACUGUUGUUUCCUUAACUACAUGAUGGUGAUAGAUUUUAACAACCGAACAGCAAGCUAUAAAGGGCCCCAAAAAAUUACUAGUGUAAAAGUAAAACCAUUCAAACGGGAAAACCAACAGUCUAAUCUACAUUAAAAAAUGAGAAACGAGAAACACUUUAUAUGUAACUCUAUAUCAUUGAUGAAUCAUUGGAGGAUAUUCAUUCAUAUAUUGUAUUUCCUAUCAAUAAACAAACACAUAGUAUACCCAUGAUACCUUGUAUUGAUCUAAUUAUAAAAACUUUCAUAUAUUGAUUCCUGAUAAUAUAAACUGAUGUGGCAUGCUGUUACGACUUUACUCUAAUUACUGUACUUUUUCAAGUCACUCUAAAAGGCAUAAUUGAAAUUUACUUGAUUAGCAAACCUAGUUUAAUGUAUAAUAAUAUUCCCCAUUUCAAUUCUCAAUUUUACUUGUUAAAUGACUUUCUUGGCAACUUGGUAGUAAAAGUUUUAGUAUAAUUUAAUUAUAUCUAACUUAAUACCUUGUGUACUUCCAUGCCUUAAAUUAAAGUUUAUCAAUCUAUGGAAACAAAUCUUGUCCUGAAUAUGGUUGGAAUAAUUUGUUAUAGGGCAAUCAGAAGAACAGACCAUGGAAUUUCUUGUUUGAAUUAUUGAUGCUGCACAUCCAAUAAUCAUGGUAAUGAAUAUUAUACAUGCAUGUACUCUGAACAAAAUUUUGUUGAUUCCAUGGACUUUUUGGGACAUAAGUGUAGGUAAACCGAAAUUUAAAUGAUCAACAAAGCAUACAUUUUCUUUAGGCUUGCAAGAAGACUGGGAUUGUGAAACAAUGAAACAAAUAUGUAUACAUGGAAAUACAAACUUUUUCUCAACCCAGGAAAAUAUAAUUAAUCCACGAGUCUUCAGAACAUGGUUGCUUUGUACUACAAUGUACUUUCUUUUAGAGUUUAAUAUGACGUUCAUUAUCACUGAACUAGUAUACAUUUUUUUAAGGGGCAGCUGAAGAACAUCUCUGGGUGCAGGACUUUCUCGCUGCAUUGAAGACCCAUUCAGGUGGCCUUCGUUUGUUGUCAGCUCUUAGGUUGGGUCUCUUAGACACAUUCCUCAUUUCCAUUCUCAAUUUUACAUCACAGAACACAAUAUGACUGAUUGUUAACGUGCUAACUUGUGCCACCAGCACACAUUAUUAUCUCUGAGCCAUGCUUUUGUUCUCAAAUGGGAUUCUGUGCCCUAGUUCAGUAGUCGCAAAGAUGAUUUAAAUGCCAAUUUUAAAAACCCCUAACCUCCCACACUUGGUGUUGUAUACUAUAUUUUAUUGGAAUGGAUUAUUAUUUAUAUUGCUAUAAGUUAUGCCAUGUUAUGAAUAUGAUCCUUGAUUAAAAUUCCCUUCACUCUGUAUUGUUGUAAGGAAGCUACCAUUUGAUUUUUAGGGGGGGCUAGGAUGAAAAAUUUUGUCCUGCAUUUUUUUUAGUUGUAAUCCCUGUCCUGCCUUUUUAUUUUUCACUCUAUUCAGUCCUGCCUUUUUUCUUUUAGUUUAUCCUGACUUUUUUUACCUAUAAAUUGUCAUCCUGACUUUUUUUUUUGCAAGUGUCUCAUCCUGCCUUUUUUUUUUACUCAAAACUCCUGUCCUGCCUAUUUUUUCAAAUUUCAUCCUAGCCCCCCCCCCCCCCCCCCCCCCCCCCCCCCAUAAAAAUCAAAUGGUAGCUCCCUAAUAUUGAUCAUAGGAACAUUUUGAAGGAAGAAAAAAAUUGGAAAUUUUCUAGUUUUAUAUUUUAACAUCUGUAAACAAGUGAGACAAGAAUUUAGCAUAUAAGCAACAACAAUAACUCCAAGGUAAAUAAAAAAAGGGGGGGGGGGAGUUUACAAAACCUGACAAUUUCAAAUCAAUGGAACAAAUAUAUACCAGAUAACAAGUGUCAUAUUUCUGACUUGAUUUAAAAAAAAAUGGGUUUUAACCUGGGUUUAUAGAAAUCUUGUUUAAUAACAUAUUUGUCUAUAGUUCUUCAUCUUACAUGUAUAUAUGUUGUACAAGUAAGUUUUAAAAAUCCUUUACUAAUAACAUUAUACACAGAUUUUCGUUAGUUUCCAUGAUUUUUGUUUACCACUUGACUAAAUAUCAUGCACCAUCACUACCCUCUUUAUGGUCAAGGCUAAUGUGUGCCAUUACUUCAUCAUUUCUUCAGUUUAAUUAUAGACUUAUAUUAUGUCCUUAAUGAAUAACAUUCAUGACAGUAGUGACAGUACCAUGAUUACAUCUAAAGACUUCUUAUCUACAAAUUGAUAUUUGUAUGGGUAACCUGGGUAAUAUAAUGGGCGAAGACAUUAGGUAAUACAUGGUUAUAUAAUUGAGAAUGAAAAUGGGGAAUUUGUGUCAAAGGGACAUCAACCUGACCAAAUAGCAGAAAACAGCCGUCUUCAAUACAGCAAGAAAUUCCAGUGGUUCAACCCCCCCCCCCCUUUUUUCAUUUGACAUUCAAUACAUUUGAAUCUGGACAAAUAAUUGGAACACCACCCCAUCCUGCCUGCUUAAUCCUCGGUUUGAAAUCCCCUUUGAUAAAUAGGUGGAUCUGUCUCUGGAAAUGAGGUUUGGAUGUGUUUAUUGAUAUACAUUAUCGUAAGGGAGCUACCAUUUGAUUUUUAUGGGGGGGCUAGGAUGAAAAAUUUUGUCCUGCAUUUUUAUUUAGUUGUAAUCUCUGUCCUGCCUUUUUAUUUUUCACUCUAUUCGGUCCUGCCUUUUUUUUUAUUAGUUUAUCCUGACUUUUUUACCUAAAUUGUCAUCAUUUUUUGCAAAGUGUCUCAUCCUGCCUUUUUUUUUACUCAAAACUCCUGUCCUGCCUAUUUUUUUCAAAUUUCAUCCUUAAGCCCCCCCAUAAAAAUCAAAUGGUAGCUCCCUAAGAUGGGAAAUAACAAUCCUCAUGUUCUUGUGGAAUAAGUCUUAUCAUGUGUUUAGGUCUAAUUCUUAUUUGUAGUAAAAUCAUUAUUUGACCAUGAACCUAAUCUUAAGAUACAUGUAUUCUAAAUAUAACUGAAUUGUUCAUGACUUACGAUCUAACAAUUUUAGUCGUAAGAUCUUUCGUGGAUGAAAGGUCUGUUUUGUGUAUUUAACAUUGUUUUCAUAAUAAGUCAUUCAAAUUGUUACAAACUAUAUUUGGUGAAUUAUAUAUGUAAACACUGAUGGUCAUUCAAUAAUGUCCAGUAAACGGUCAAAAGGAAAUUUCUAUUUAAUGUUUUUAAAUGGGUUAACUGUACAUACAAAUUCAUAUUAUAUUUAAAUAAACAUAAAUAAUUUUGACCAGGACAACAGAAAAGAAAUUUUUAAAUAGGUUAGAGCAUUUAAAAAUAAAAAUAUUUUUUUUGUCAUUGUUAGUACAAAGUUCAAAUUUUGAUGUUAAAAUAAUUACAAGAAGUUUAUGUCAGUGUUUUAUAAUAAUAGGAAAAAGAAUAUAUAGUUUGGGUUUAAAUCUUUAUCCAGUGCAUUGCACCAGAUAAUGACACUCUUAUUUACUGUUUAUUGGUCAUAAAGUACUGAAUGACAUAAUAUAUGUUUUGUUGAAACAGUUAAUACUUAUCGCAGUGAAAAUGGAAAAAAAAUUGAAAAUUGUCAAAUUGCAUCAGUCAUCACCUGCAGGUCUUUCUUUAGGAGUCUUGCCACGAUGUAGCCUUUUUGUGCUGAUGACGCAGAAAGGAAUCACUAAUCAAUCAACAUUUCAGUAGUCAAUUGACAUCUAAAGACUUUUGAAUUCGUCAGAGCAUUUAUUUAUAAAAAAAAAAUUUAAAAAAUAAAAUUUGUCAUUGUUUGUUCAAAUUUUGAUGUUAGGCCAAAUAAAAAUAUAUGUGUGGUUCCAGUAACACGGCCGACCCUAGAACUUUUUUUUCAUUUCGGAAAAAUAAAUUUUCAAACGAUCAAAUUUUGAAGAUUGUAAAUUAAAAAAAUAAAAUUCGUAGAUUUCUGUCAUCUGAAUUUCUAUCAGAAGUAUCUGUUAUUGAUAAAAUGCAAGAAUUCAUAGCAACUUGUUGUCAAAAUGCAACAAAAUUAACUAAAAAGGUAAAUGACUGUCUUUAUUUUGCCACAAAACACUUUUAAAAUGGCUGACUUCCGGUAUUGAUGUGUAUAAUACCGGAAAUAUUUCGGUAAACACGAUUUUUUUCCGGAUUUUGACAAUCCAAAAUAAAAUUUAGAAAAAAAAAAAAAAAUUUGCUGACCUACCGACCCUAUUUUUUAAAAGUACACAUGUAUAUGGAACCACACAUAUAUUUUUAUUUGGCCUUAAUAAAAUAAUUACAAGAAAUUUAUAAAUUAAUGUGUUUCAUGAUAGGGAAAAGAAUAUAGUUUUUGGUUUAAAUCAUUAGUGCAUUGAACCAGGUCUCUGAACCUGAAUCCUUCUGAUGGAAACUAUAUAUAUCCUAUACCCCAAUGUCAAUGAAUGUUGACAUUGUUUUAGUCUGAAACAAACUGAUUAGACCUCAAUACUUAUGAUUGAAACUAUAUAUCUGGUAAUUGAUUGUUUUAAGUUCGUACAAGAGUUCUAAAUAGUAUCUCAUUAAUCUAAAGAGUCAUUUGACGUCACAAUUUAUUUACAAACAGAUACUGUGAUUGAUCUGAAGAUUGGAAAUGAUUUUCCCUCGUAGAAAUAUUAUCUAGCCCACAUGGAUUAAAAAGAUUUAUAGAUUUACAACACUGUUAGAUGUACUUGCUUAUUAGGAUUGACUGUAUAUAUUUUUUUACCCAAUUUUUUUUUGUGUUGACUUGAAUUGAAACUUGAUGAAUAUAAAAAUCUGAAUUAUUUGAAGUGUUUCAGUAGAUUAUAGGAAGUAUAAGGGCUGAUUAUAUAACUUUUUUUUACCAAUUUUUUGUUGUGUUGACUUGAAUUGAAACUGGAUGAAUAAAAUCUGACUUAUUUGAAGUGUUUCAGUAGAUAGGAAGUGUUUGUAUUGAUUGAAAAUAUGGUCAGUUUUUCCUGGUAUCUAAUGUUUACAUGUCAGCAUUAGAUACAAGGAUUGAUGGAUUUAUAAGAAGAUUAGAGAAGGAGUAUAACAAUGUUUAUUAUCAACUAUAUAAAGAAACCUAGGUUUAAUGUCUUUGACCUUAUAUAACCAUAUAUAAGUUUGAUAUUGCUUAUUUAAAUAAGGAAGAAUUUACAAAUGUAGUAAUUUGAACACACAACCUUCUGGCUUCGUCUUGGUUAAAAUAUCAAAAGGAGUCUGAAAGAUUUAAUAUAACAAAUUAUAUAUUUGGUAAUUGCUGUCAGCAUCUAACUCAUCGAUUAUGUCCUUAGCAAAAGUUACUAGAAAUUAAGAAUUACUAUAGUCUAAAUUGAUAUUCUUGUUUUAAAAGUAUUACACACAUUUGUACAUAUAUCAGCUAGGACUCUUCAUGAAGUGGUGUACCUUUUUAUAAGGAAUAAUGAUCAUUAACCCUAUUUUACGAAAUUUUCCUUUAAUCUUACUGACACAGUAGAGCAUGGUAUCUUGUCAAUGAAAUUAACAACGGGUUGUCAUACUGUGAAAUAGCGACAAACAGAUAAUCAUUGACCAUCUCAACUCAAUUGCUUUUCUCACUUUUGCAAUACUGGCUCAAGCAAGAAUCUGUUGAAUUUUCUGGAGAUGACCAACGAUAAUCUUUAAGUACCGGGUACAUGUAGGCAAAUGACAAUAAUCAAAGAGAUUUUUUUUUGUUUUUCAGAACAAAGCUUCCCGUACCAAUGUUUGAUAGAAAUGAUUUCAGUAUAUGGAGUAUACUUAAGCAAUGUAUAGGGAAGG
RNAcentral lists this long non-coding RNA (14535 nucleotides) under Mytilus galloprovincialis (Mediterranean mussel). The record is from RNAcentral. Lineage: Eukaryota; Metazoa; Mollusca; Bivalvia; Mytilida; Mytilidae.